RNAcentral lists this ribosomal RNA (443 nucleotides) under uncultured bacterium. Its description in RNAcentral is "partial 16S ribosomal RNA". It matches the Rfam family "Bacterial small subunit ribosomal RNA", at positions 338 to 795 of the family's 1533-position model. The record is from RNAcentral.
CCUACGGGAGGCAGCAGUGGGGAAUAUUGGACAAUGGGGGGAACCCUGAUCCAGCGACGCCGCGUGAGUGAAGAAGUAUUUCGGUAUGUAAAGCUCUAUCAGCAGGGAAGAAAGAAAUGACGGUACCUGACUAAGAAGCCCCGGCUCACUACGUGCCAGCAGCCGCGGUAAUACGGAGGGGGCAAGCGUUAUCCGGAGUUACUGGGUGUAAAGGGAGCGUAGACGGCGAUGCAAGUCUGAAGUGAAAGGCGGGGGCCCAACCCCUGGACUGCUUUGGAAACUGUAUGGCUGCAGUGCAGGAGAGGUAAGUGGAAUUCCUAGUGUAGCGGUGAAAUGCGUAGAUAUUAGGAGGAACACCAGUGGCGAAGGCGGCUUACUGGACUGUAACUGACGUUGAGGCUCGAAAGCGUGGGGAGCAAACAGGAUUAGAUACCCCGGUAGUC